UGGAACCGGCAAAUGUAGAAAUCAUCGCCAAAAAUCUGUCUAAAUUGGUCCAGCGGUUUAACCAAAGGGUUCCUUGGAGUAAAGACCACACUCAUGUUAACCAAAGCCUUGAUCCGAUCCGGUCGAAACAAACACAUGUACCAUGAGAUUAUGGCACCCCAAUCAUGACCCACCAAGUAAACCUUGUCCAAACCCAAAGAGUCAAGCAAGCACACCAAGUCUCCAACUAUGUGGAACGCGGUGUAGCUAGUGGCGGAAGGUGGCGCUUCUGUGUCACCGAACCCACGAAGGUCUGGUGCGAUGGCACGGUAGCCUUUGGAGGCUAUAAACAACAUCUGGUGACGCCAUGUGUACCAUAGUUCGGGGAAGCCGUGGACGAAAAGCACGCCGUGGACGAAAAGCACCGCGGGGCCUUCCCCGAUCUCGGCUACGUGCAUAUUGAUGCCAUUUACUUUGAUGUUGUUAUGUUGUAUUUUCUCCAUGUUUGUUUUGGUGUUGUUUGGAGUUUAUAAGGUGAACAUUGGGUUUUUGUUUGUGGGAUGGAAAAGGGUGUGG
RNAcentral lists this long non-coding RNA (555 nucleotides) under Helianthus annuus (common sunflower). RNAcentral describes it as "sRNA HanXRQr2_Chr01g0001311". Lineage: Eukaryota; Viridiplantae; Streptophyta; Magnoliopsida; Asterales; Asteraceae. The record is from RNAcentral.